RNAcentral lists this non-coding RNA (45 nucleotides) under Schistosoma curassoni. The record is from RNAcentral. Lineage: Eukaryota; Metazoa; Platyhelminthes; Trematoda; Strigeidida; Schistosomatidae.
ACCCAUCUGACCAGUUCCAAAUAGGACAAAACUCGAGUUCUGGGU